AAAAAGGCCCUUUUCAGGGUCAUACAAAUUUACUCUAAAAUCAUGG
Non-coding RNA from Stegodyphus mimosarum, 46 nucleotides. Lineage: Eukaryota; Metazoa; Arthropoda; Arachnida; Araneae; Eresidae. The record is from Rfam.